Molecule: non-coding RNA, 73 nt
Organism: Ornithorhynchus anatinus (platypus)
Lineage: Eukaryota; Metazoa; Chordata; Mammalia; Monotremata; Ornithorhynchidae
Source: Rfam
AGCAGUGUAGCCUAGUGGAUAGAGCACAGGCCUGGAAGUCAGAAGGACCUGAGUUCUAAUCCCAGCUCUGCUA